This 62-nucleotide transfer RNA is filed under the name Lasioderma redtenbacheri. Its description in RNAcentral is "tRNA-Arg". Lineage: Eukaryota; Metazoa; Arthropoda; Insecta; Coleoptera; Ptinidae. The record is from RNAcentral.
AAUGUGAAGCAAUAAUUUUGCAGUUAGUUUCGACCUAAUCUUUAGAUUUAAUAUCCACAUUU